RNAcentral lists this long non-coding RNA (1002 nucleotides) under Felis catus (domestic cat). Its description in RNAcentral is "lncRNA (ENSFCAG00000041633.2)". Lineage: Eukaryota; Metazoa; Chordata; Mammalia; Carnivora; Felidae. The record is from RNAcentral.
CUGAAAGGUAAGUGGAACAUGUGGUCAAGGCUCUACCCUAUUAUCUCCUCAGUCUUAGCAUUCUCCCUUAUAAUUUACUGCAGCCCACAAGGGCUUCAUUCUUCAUACUAGUGAUCCUAGGACUAUUGGGAAAGUUAGGGCAUCUUCCAGGUCAGUCCCUUUUCUUUUUUGCUCUGUAUCUCAUCCAUCAAACAUUAUUAGCAGGACACCCACUCAGUUGCAAAACUGAGUCAAUUCUCUUUGGAGAUUUAUACUUCUUUAUGUACAUCUUUAUCUCUUCUAAACUACUUUAGUCAGCUUAGCCUUAAGGGAAACUUUCAGACAUUCCAAUCUUUAGUUUGUCUUAACAGUUUGUUUAUUUUUUUUUCUGUUGCAGUGAAAUGUCUUCUUCCCAUGCCUACCUUCCUCUUGGUUGGAGGGCCUUCUAAUUCUUUUCACUUUCUUUUAUGUUUUCUCAGGUAGUGUCUACACAUAACUGGAAAUGGCACCAGCACCAUACAGGUGACCGGACAGCCACACAUGUGGAUGUGUGGUCUUGUCACCUAGUAUUUGACUCUUCUCCCCUGUUUCCAGUUUACAAGCUAUUCACAACUGGAAGUGAGACCAGUCCUAAAAGUCAAAAGGCUGAAGACAGAUCUCUAACAAACAACAUGAAGAAUAAGAUGGAAUUAGCUGUUUCCUUUAAACAAGAAUUAUCUUACUAUUUCUCAGUGGACUGAAGAAGAAGAAACGGUAGUUCUACAGACUUACAUGAAAGCCAAACAACAGAGGAGGAGAAAAAGGAGAAGGAAUUUUAAUGGGAAUUUCACUGCUUUAGAAGACUUUGAGGUAUGCUAACUUGAAUGGAGAAUUAAUGACUAUUUAGUGCCAAACUGCCAAGAAGAAUUUGACUUUGAUUUCAUAGGUGAAGAGGCCAGAACUAUACAAGACAGAAAUUACUGAGGCUAGCACCAGUAUGCACAGUUAGCUUUCUAUACUAGAAUAAAUUUCCUAAGUUUAUCA